GACGAACGCUGGCGGCGUGCUUAACACAUGUAAGUCGAACGGAAAGGCCCUGCUUUUGUGGGGUGCUCGAGUGGCGAACGGGUGAGUAACACGUGAGUAACCUGCCCUUGACUUUGGGAUAACUUCAGGAAACUGGGGCUAAUACCGGAUAGGAGCUCCUGCUGCAUGGUGGGGGUUGGAAAGUUUCGGCGGUUGGGGAUGGACUCGCGGCUUAUCAGCUUGUUGGUGGGGUAGUGGCUUACCAAGGCUUUGACGGGUAGCCGGCCUGAGAGGGUGACCGGCCACAUUGGGACUGAGAUACGGCCCAGACUCCUACGGGAGGCAGCAGUGGGGAAUAUUGCACAAUGGGCGGAAGCCUGAUGCAGCAACGCCGCGUGCGGGAUGACGGCCUUCGGGUUGUAAACCGCUUUCGCCUGUGACGAGGCGUGAGUGACGGUAAUGGGUAAAGAAGCACCGGCUAACUACGUG
This 468-nucleotide ribosomal RNA is filed under the name uncultured bacterium. Its description in RNAcentral is "partial 16S ribosomal RNA". It matches the Rfam family "Bacterial small subunit ribosomal RNA", at positions 28 to 507 of the family's 1533-position model. The record is from RNAcentral.